AUAGCAAUAGCUACUUGCAUCAUUGUACAGAUGAUGCAAGAUCGACUAUGUCGAAUAAAAUUCUAGGUAGAAUUAUGAUAAUGACAUUGUCUGCCUAUGUGUCUUGACCAAAUUACGUGCCAGCAGUCGCGGUAAUACGUAGAAGACUAGUGUUAUUCAUGUUUAAUCGGUUUAAAGGGUACCUAGACGGUAGAUCAAGCUUUUGCAUAUAAAUUAUGCCAAUUAAAGGACUAAUUUGCUAGAGUUACUUACGAGGGGGUAUUAAAGUACUGCUGGUGUAGAGAUGAAAUUCUGUUAUACCUCUUUUCGAAAGAAAAAUCAUGGCACAGGUAUAGGCGAAGGCAUCCCCUUAUGUGAUAACUGACGUUGAGGGACGAAGGCUUUUUGUAACAAACAGGAUUAGAUACCCUAGUAGUUGAAGCAGAAAAUGAUGAAUGUCAUAGAUUAGAUAUAUAAGUUUAUUCUAUAAAUGAAAGUGUAAGCAUUCCACCUCAUGAGUAAUUUGGCAACAUUGGAACUGAAAUCAUUAGACCGUUUCUGAAACCAGUAGUGAAGUAUGUUGUUUAAUUUGAUGAUCCGCAAAAAACCUUACCACAAUUUGAAUAUUUAUAUUUUUUUAUUGUUUUCUUCUUAAUUUUCUUCUAAUAACAUAUUCAACAUGU
Molecule: ribosomal RNA, 662 nt
Filed under: Punctelia graminicola
Lineage: Eukaryota; Fungi; Ascomycota; Lecanoromycetes; Lecanorales; Parmeliaceae
Description: SSU rRNA
Rfam family: Bacterial small subunit ribosomal RNA
Source: RNAcentral